UUGUCAUUGGUGUUAAAAAUCGAGUUUUCGCAACAUUCAUUGAACGUUGCCGAAAAAAUCUUUUCGCAACGUUCAAGUCUUUUUUGUAACAUUUGUUAGAAUGUUUCGAACGUUGCUAAAGGUCACUUUCUGCAACGAUCAACGAACGUUGUUAAAAGUCUUUUCGCAACGUUCUUACACACGAAUGUUGUGAAAAGUCUCGCCCCUUUCUUUUGACAUAUAAACCUAACUCCUCAUUUCACAAUUUGGGUGUUCUUCCCAGCUCUUGCCCCCGGCUACGGUAGUGCUUUAUAUCUCUCUCCCCCCAGUUUCUUUUCACCCUCCCUAGCAGACGUGAUCGUAUAGCUUUCUCGCCCUUCGCCAUCUCCGAUUCUCCACUCCGAAGUCUGCACGUUGCUUCUUGAGUAGUUGAGUUAAUCCAUUGCUCUCGUCUACCGUCUGCACUGUGUCAGUAAUCUCCCGUCGUUGUUGGAACUCUACGGUAUGUAACAUUUUAUUUAAGCUGUUGUCUUCCACUUUUAGUGUCUGUAAUGUUACUAUGUUAAUGUUCUCUCCCGGUUUUUUGAAUGUUGAUUUUGGUAUUAUUCAUUCCUGUAAUUAAUUGUGUUUUUACCAACUUAGAAUUUUUUUGAUUUAGGGAUUUCUAAUUUAGGAAUUCGGGCUUUAUGAUUUAGUGUCUUGGGAUUUGAAAAUUUGAUGAUUUAUAAGGUUUAUCACAUGAUUGAAAUUUUUGAGUGAUUAUUAGUGUUUUAUACUUAAUAUCUUCCGCCAUUUUCUUGAUUUAUCUUUUCUUCUACUUAUAUAGUGAGUUCUUUUGAAUGAUUAGUAAUUUCAGAGUCA
RNAcentral lists this long non-coding RNA (840 nucleotides) under Olea europaea subsp. europaea. Lineage: Eukaryota; Viridiplantae; Streptophyta; Magnoliopsida; Lamiales; Oleaceae. The record is from RNAcentral.